GAAGUGCUGAGGGUACUUGUGAUUAUUGAUGAUUUUAGAAGCUUUACAGAAGACAUACUGAGAGUCUCAUCUACACCGAGUGAAGGAAGGCUUAUUAAAGUAGCAUACAGUCACUGCUCCAGUCUGGGAACCACUAAAGUGGAGCUUGCUAGGCUGGGGUGCGUGCUGCAGGCAGGUGUGUGUACUGGGGAAUGCCACUUGGACUGGAUGUGAGGGUUCCCAGUACCCGGUAUUUGGUUUUGAAAGGUCCUGUAAAUCUUCUGACAUCAGCCUGCCUGAAAUUUCCAUGCAGCAUUAGAAGGUGUUGUCAUUGAAGGCUUUGUGUUUGAAGGAAUUUUCCAGCAGAAGACAAGAACCAGCACCUGCUGUUUGGAUGCACAAUUCUUUUCCAACUGAUCACAAAACAGCAGCAGUUCCAGUGAUUUAAAGUAAUGGCUUGAUAACUUUAAGAAUCUGUAUAAAUGCUAUCAUAUCUGCACCAAUAGCAUAAUGAGAAAUUAAUGUCUUUAUUGUAUAUAAUCAUAAUGUAAAAAUGCUGAGCAUUAUUGCUGAAAUGGAGCUGCAAAGCUGGUGGCCUGUAUAUGCAAUACUUAAUACUGUUUAGCAUAUGCUGCUACGGUACAUAUACAACCAAACCCUUCUUCCUAUGUUGAAAACAUCCUGAUUGCUAGUGCAGAAAGCACCAAUCUAUUUUUGGUGGGACCACACAGAACAUCAUUGAAACCACAUUUUUCCUGAGUCUCAGCUGUUGGAAGGAAUUCUGCACUGCCUAUAAUGUCAUUAAAUAUAUUCUUAUACCACAGUAAAUAAACUGGGGCCUUGAGAAAAGAAGGUGGCUGUAAUGAUGCCGCUAUAGUGUCACUAUAGUGAUGAAGGUGUAUAUAGUGAUGGCCAAAUUUUUACUAUGAUGUAGUUAACCAGUGUAACAAGACUCUUAAUGAGAAAAACAAUGAAAGUAAAAACCUAUCGUCAAAAUUUGGGAGAGGUGUGU
Cygnus olor (mute swan) is the source of this 991-nucleotide long non-coding RNA. RefSeq lists it as uncharacterized. The record is from RefSeq and is a predicted model, not a curated record. Lineage: Eukaryota; Metazoa; Chordata; Aves; Anseriformes; Anatidae. The transcript is spliced from 3 exons.